UGAUUAGAUACCCGCGUAGUCCCAGCUGUAAGCGAUGCAGGCUAGGUGUUUGGGCGGCCACGUGCCGCUCUAGUGCCGCAGGGAAGCUGUUAAGCCUGCCGCCUGGGGAGUACGAUCGCAAGAUUGAAACUUAAAGGAAUUGGCGGGGGAGCACCACAAGGGGUGAAGCUUGCGGUUUAAUUGGAGUCAACGCCGGAAAUCUCACCGGGAGCGACAGCAGUGUGAAGGCCAGAUUAAAGGUCUUGCCAGACGAGCUGAGAGGAGGUGCAUGGCA
Molecule: ribosomal RNA, 274 nt
Filed under: Thermofilum carboxyditrophus
Lineage: Archaea; Thermoproteati; Thermoproteota; Thermoprotei; Thermofilales; Thermofilaceae
Description: partial 16S ribosomal RNA
Rfam family: Archaeal small subunit ribosomal RNA
Source: RNAcentral